Molecule: ribosomal RNA, 449 nt
Filed under: uncultured bacterium
Lineage: Bacteria
Description: partial 16S ribosomal RNA
Rfam family: Bacterial small subunit ribosomal RNA
Source: RNAcentral
AACGAACGCUGGCGGCAUGCCUAACACAUGCAAGUCGAACGAGAUCUUCGGGUCUAGUGGCGCACGGGUGCGUAACGCGUGGGAACCUGCCCUUUGGUUCGGAAUAACAGUUGGAAACGACUGCUAAUACCGGAUGAUGACGAAAGUCCAAAGAUUUAUCGUCAGAGGAUGAGCCCGCGUAGGAUUAGCUAGUUGGUGUGGUAAAGGCGCACCAAGGCGACGAUCCUUAGCUGGUCUGAGAGGAUGAUCAGCCACACUGGGACUGAGACACGGCCCAGACUCCUACGGGAGGCAGCAGUGGGGAAUAUUGGACAAUGGGCGAAAGCCUGAUCCAGCAAUGCCGCGUGAGUGAUGAAGGCCUUAGGGUUGUAAAGCUCUUUUACCCGGGAUGAUAAUGACAGUACCGGGAGAAUAAGCUCCGGCUAACUCCGUGCCAGCAGCCGCCGUAA